This 248-nucleotide ribosomal RNA is filed under the name uncultured bacterium. RNAcentral's name for it is "partial 16S ribosomal RNA". It matches the Rfam family "Bacterial small subunit ribosomal RNA", at positions 524 to 771 of the family's 1533-position model. The record is from RNAcentral.
UACGUAGGGAGCAAGCGUUGUCCGGAAUCAUUGGGCGUAAAGCGCGCGUAGGCGGCCCCGUAAGUCCGCUGUGAAAGUCAAAGGCUCAACCUUUGAAAGCCGGUGGAUACUGUGGGGCUAGAGUCCGGAAGAGGCGAGUGGAAUUCCCGGUGUAGCGGUGAAAUGCGCAGAUAUCGGGAGGAACACCAAUGGCGAAGGCAGCUCGCUGGGACGGUACUGACGCUGAGACGCGAAAGCGUGGGGAGCAA